Molecule: ribosomal RNA, 436 nt
Filed under: uncultured Chloroflexota bacterium
Lineage: Bacteria; Bacillati; Chloroflexota
Description: bacterial SSU rRNA
Rfam family: Bacterial small subunit ribosomal RNA
Source: RNAcentral
GAAGGCGGCCUCCUGGACCACUCCUGACACUCAGACGCGAAAGCUAGGGUAGCAAACGGGAUUAGAGACCCCGGUAGUCCUAGCCCUAAACGAUGUAGACUUGGCGUCGGUGGUUUAAUCGCCAUCGGUGUCGUAGCUAACGCGNUAAGUCUACCGCCUGGGGACUACGGCCGCAAGGUUAAAACUCAAAGGAAUUGACGGGUCCCCGCACAAGCAGCGGAGCGUGUGGUUUAAUUCGAUGCUACACGAAGAACCUUACCUGGGUUUGACAUAGAGGUAGUAGGGAAGCGAAAGCGGACCGACCCUUCGGGGAGCCUCUACAGGUGUUGCAUGGCUGUCGUCAGCUCGUGUCGUGAGAUGUUCGGUUAAGUCCGCUAACGAGCGCAACCCUCGCUGUGUGUUACAAGUGUCACACGGUACUGCCGAUAUUAAGUCA